GGCCCUGCGCCGAGGGCUCCGCUCUGGGGAUCGCGCCCCUCUGACCCGGCUCGCAGGGCCUGACGUGAGCCGAGGCGGUGCGAAUCACACGGAGAUCAGAGGCCGCAGGACCCUGGCGCCCUGGGCCUCCCUCGGCCUGGCUGUCCAGCUGCUAGGAAUGGUAACAAGCCUUGAGUCGGGAAGAUCCAUGCUCGUCCUACGCAUCUCAGCACCAUUCAGACUGCUAGGUGGUUUACCAAACAUUGCCUGGGAGAAUCUUCCACCGUUUUAAGAAUAUCCAACUUCCCCAAACCAUUUAUUGAAGAGACUGUCCUUCCCCCAUUGAACGUUCCUGGUGUUGAAUCUUGUUCACCAUAAGCAUGAGACAAGGGUUCGAUCCCUGGGUUGAGAAGAUCCCCUGGAGAAGGAAAUGUCAACCCACUCCAGCAUCCUUGUCUGGAAAAUCCCAAGGACAGAGGAGCCUGGCAGGCUA
Bos taurus (domestic cattle) is the source of this 472-nucleotide long non-coding RNA. Lineage: Eukaryota; Metazoa; Chordata; Mammalia; Artiodactyla; Bovidae. The record is from Ensembl.